RNAcentral lists this ribosomal RNA (720 nucleotides) under Lacticaseibacillus casei. Its description in RNAcentral is "bacterial SSU rRNA". It matches the Rfam family "Bacterial small subunit ribosomal RNA", at positions 40 to 725 of the family's 1533-position model. Lineage: Bacteria; Bacillati; Bacillota; Bacilli; Lactobacillales; Lactobacillaceae. The record is from RNAcentral.
CGGCGUGCUAAUACAUGCAAGUCGAACGAGUUCUCGUUGAUGAUCGGUGCUUGCACCGAGAUUCAACAUGGAACGAGUGGCGGACGGGUGAGUAACACGUGGGUAACCUGCCCUUAAGUGGGGGAUAACAUUUGGAAACAGAUGCUAAUACCGCAUAGAUCCAAGAACCGCAUGGUUCUUGGCUGAAAGAUGGCGUAAGCUAUCGCUUUUGGAUGGACCCGCGGCGUAUUAGCUAGUUGGUGAGGUAAUGGCUCACCAAGGCGAUGAUACGUAGCCGAACUGAGAGGUUGAUCGGCCACAUUGGGACUGAGACACGGCCCAAACUCCUACGGGAGGCAGCAGUAGGGAAUCUUCCACAAUGGACGCAAGUCUGAUGGAGCAACGCCGCGUGAGUGAAGAAGGCUUUCGGGUCGUAAAACUCUGUUGUUGGAGAAGAAUGGUCGGCAGAGUAACUGUUGUCGGCGUGACGGUAUCCAACCAGAAAGCCACGGCUAACUACGUGCCAGCAGCCGCGGUAAUACGUAGGUGGCAAGCGUUAUCCGGAUUUAUUGGGCGUAAAGCGAGCGCAGGCGGUUUUUUAAGUCUGAUGUGAAAGCCCUCGGCUUAACCGAGGAAGCGCAUCGGAAACUGGGAAACUUGAGUGCAGAAGAGGACAGUGGAACUCCAUGUGUAGCGGUGAAAUGCGUAGAUAUAUGGAAGAACACCAGUGGCGAAGGCGGC